AAAGGCAAGAAGGCUUUAGAACGAAAUACAGCAAGCCGGGUUCUACGAAGGAUUGAAAAUCAGCACGCACAAGGAAGCUUGAUGCAGAUAAACUUACAUUAGGAUCAGAAGGUGAUAGCGAUAAUGCCUUGGAAAAAAAUCCUGACGAGCUACAAGUGCAGCAGGUGCAUAAAGUC
Molecule: non-coding RNA, 176 nt
Organism: Procambarus clarkii (red swamp crayfish)
Lineage: Eukaryota; Metazoa; Arthropoda; Malacostraca; Decapoda; Cambaridae
Source: RefSeq, a predicted model, not a curated record